GCUUGGUUGGCUCAGCUGGUUAGAGCGCCGGUCUCAUAUUCUCUAGUAUGAUGUAUACAAGUGGUACAGUAAUCCGGAGAUCACCAGUUCGAUCCUGGUACCGAGCA
This is a transfer RNA of Plicaturopsis crispa FD-325 SS-3, 107 nucleotides long. It matches the Rfam family "tRNA". From Rfam's summary of the family: Transfer RNA (tRNA) molecules are approximately 80 nucleotides in length. Their secondary structure includes four short double-helical elements and three loops (D, anti-codon, and T loops). The record is from Rfam. Lineage: Eukaryota; Fungi; Basidiomycota; Agaricomycetes; Amylocorticiales; Amylocorticiaceae.